ACGCUAGCUACAGGCUUAACACAUGCAAGUCGAGGGGCAUCAGGAAGAAAGCUUGCUUUCUUUGCUGGCGACCGGCGCACGGGUGAGUAACACGUAUCCAACCUGCCCUUUACUCGGGGAUAGCCUUUCGAAAGAAAGAUUAAUACCCGAUAGCAUAAUGAUUCCGCAUGGUUUCAUUAUUAAAGGAUUCCGGUAAAGGAUGGGGAUGCGUUCCAUUAGGUUGUUGGUGAGGUAACGGCCCACCAAGCCUUCGAUGGAUAGGGGUUCUGAGAGGAAGGUCCCCCACAUUGGAACUGAGACACGGUCCAAACUCCUACGGGAGGCAGCAGUGAGGAAUAUUGGUCAAUGGGCGCUAGCCUGAACCAGCCAAGUAGCGUGAAGGAUGAAGGCUCUAUGGGUCGUAAACUUCUUUUAUAUAAGAAUAAAGUGCAGUAUGUAUACUGUUUUGUAUGUAUUAUAUGAAUAAGGAUCGGCUAACUCCGUGCCAGCAGCCGCGGUAAUACGGAGGAUCCGAGCGUUAUCCGGAUUUAUUGGGUUUAAAGGGAGCGUAGGUGGACUGGUAAGUCAGUUGUGAAAGUUUGCGGCUCAACCGUAAAAUUGCAGUUGAUACUGUCAGUCUUGAGUACAGUAGAGGUGGGCGGAAUUCGUGGUGUAGCGGUGAAAUGCUUAGAUAUCACGAAGAACUCCGAUUGCGAAGGCAGCUCACUGGACUGCAACUGACACUGAUGCUCGAAAGUGUGGGUAUCAAACAGGAUUAGAUACCCUGGUAGUCCACACAGUAAACGAUGAAUACUCGCUGUUUGCGAUAUACAGUAAGCGGCCAAGCGAAAGCAUUAAGUAUUCCACCUGGGGAGUACGCCGGCAACGGUGAAACUCAAAGGAAUUGACGGGGGCCCGCACAAGCGGAGGAACAUGUGGUUUAAUUCGAUGAUACGCGAGGAACCUUACCCGGGCUUAAAUUGCAGUGGAAUGAUGUGGAAACAUGUCAGUGAGCAAUCACCGCUGUGAAGGUGCUGCAUGGUUGUCGUCAGCUCGUGCCGUGAGGUGUCGGCUUAAGUGCCAUAACGAGCGCAACCCUUAUCUUUAGUUACUAACAGGUUAUGCUGAGGACUCUAGAGAGACUGCCGUCGUAAGAUGUGAGGAAGGUGGGGAUGACGUCAAAUCAGCACGGCCCUUACGUCCGGGGCUACACACGUGUUACAAUGGGGGGUACAGAAGGCAGCUAGCGGGUGACCGUAUGCUAAUCCCAAAAUCCUCUCUCAGUUCGGAUCGAAGUCUGCAACCCGACUUCGUGAAGCUGGAUUCGCUAGUAAUCGCGCAUCAGCCACGGCGCGGUGAAUACGUUCCCGGGCCUUGUACACACCGCCCGUCAAGCCAUGGGAGCCGGGGGUACCUGAAGUACGUAACCGCAAGGAUCGUCCUAGGGUAAAACUGGUGA
This 1438-nucleotide ribosomal RNA is filed under the name uncultured organism. RNAcentral describes it as "SSU rRNA". It matches the Rfam family "Bacterial small subunit ribosomal RNA". The record is from RNAcentral.